Molecule: RNA transcript, 5139 nt
Organism: Scylla paramamosain (green mud crab)
Lineage: Eukaryota; Metazoa; Arthropoda; Malacostraca; Decapoda; Portunidae
Exons: 2
Source: RefSeq, a predicted model, not a curated record
UGUGUGUGUGUGUGUGUGUGUGUGUGUGUGUGUGUGUGUGUGUGUGUGUGUGCAGGCCAGGGGGGCGGGGGCGUGGAAGCGUGUGGCAACCCAGGGCGGGGCCGCAGGUGAGCGUGUCCCGCGGCUGGCCGGCUCACUCCACCGCCGACCACUCUGGCGGUCGCCGCCGCGCCGCCACCACCGCCGCCAGCCCGGGCAGUGCCGAGGCCCCGCCCGCACCGCUCCACGCCGCCCCCACACGCCCACGCCGCGCCCACCAGCGGUCACCCACGCCCCUGGAGGUGCGUCGCGCGGAGGAGGCAGCCAAGGCCCGCCAGGUGCAGUUCUCCACACUUCACCACUUCACCAGCACCACCGCAGUCUAUCUGCACCACAAACUGCACCACCUCCCCGCACCACUAGUCCCCCGCACUCCACCUUCACCACCACCACCACCUCCAACCCUCUAGCUUAGUUGAGGACGGAGACAGAGCAGCGGCCAGGCAGGCCUCGCCACGCUCCGCCGUCCCGACGCCCCCGCUGCGCCCUGGCGUCGCGGCGCCCCUCGGUGCUGUCUCCCUCGGAGGUCCCCACACUGGUCCCGUCCCGCUCUCUCAGUGACACACGGCUGCCGCGCUGGACUCGCGCGUGACGCAGCUUUCAAUGUUUCAGCCCAAAAUUCAAUCCGUUUAGUGUGCAUUGCGGCAAGACCUCAGGCCCGCGGGUAAAUAUUUGUAGAUGGUCUGUUUACAGGGAGUGUAGUGGCGGGCCGGGUGGCGGGGCGGGGCGGGAGUGGACGGGUUGGGGUGUCUGCCGUAGUGGCGCCGCCCGUCCGCCCUCCUGGUCCAGCAGCCGCCUCGCCAGCGGCUCUGCGGCACGAUAUCGCGUGCUCCGCCGACACCUGCUCGAGUUUUGUGACAGUAAGGAUUGAUUUAUGGAUCCCUGGCCAGCCGAGGCGGAGCCGUGGCACGAGGCGGGAGGCGCCGCUCACUCCUCGCCGCCAAACUUCUUGCCAUUGGCGCCUGCCGCUGCCUUGCCAUGCACCGGGCUGCCGGGGGGCGGCAGGCGGCGGGGGCGCUCCAAUGCCGCCGCCUGACCUAGUUUCGGAAAGUUCACACAGUGAGGUCAGAGUCGCCUUGAGCCACGUGUUCGCGCAUCACUCUGCGGGAGGCGCCAGGCGUGUGUGCCGCCUCGCCCCGCCGCGCCGUGCCGCCCCGCGUCUCACCAGUGCCUGGGGCGUCAUGCUGCCCCGCACCGCACCGCCCGCAGGUGUGCAAGUGUGAAGGGUGUCACGCGGGCUGCUGCUGCUGCUGCUGCUGAGGGGAUCAAUGCUGGCCGCCCACCGAGACCUGGGCCCCGUAACCACUGGACUGAGUAAUGACCUCCCCGACUUCCCCGCCUCACCGUCCACCGCCCCGCCGCGCCGCUCCUGUCGGGGUGUCUCCUGGCGGCUCAUGUAAGUGUUAGUGAAGUGUUUUGUUUGUGUAUUCUGGUGCGUGUCUGUGGAUCCUGAUGUGUCUUUUUGUGUUUCUCGGGUAUUCGUGUUGGGUUUAAGUUGGUGGUGGUGUUGGUGGUGGUGGUAGCGGUGGUAGUGGUGCUACUACUACUACUACUACUACUACUACUACUACUACUACUACUACUACUACUACCACCACCACCAUUAGAAAUCCACUAUAAAAAUUACUGUCCUUAUCUUCAUUAUCAUUACUAUUAUGACAACUGUUACUUUCAUCAUUAUUAUCACCAUCACCACCAUUAUUUAUUCACCACUGAGAUUGUACAGCAUUCUUACAUACUCUAACAUCACCCACCACUACCACCACCACCACCACCACCACCAGAAGUACAGGGGCCAACAAACUACAUAGCUACAGCCAAGGCCCGUAUUCAGAAACGUCUUGCUUUCUCACCACGACUAUUUUCAAAGGUCACAGAUGAUGAGCCGGGUUCUUAAGGGUGUUUCUCCUGUUAAUAACGUAGAAAUGGUGUUAAUCUGUCACUAGAGCCAUAAAAACACCCUCAAAAACCCCACGUAGCUUCAACUGGUGGAGUCUUGAAUGUAGUGUAGGUGCGGCGCUGAAGUGCUUGAGAAUACGGUCCCAAGAGUCUCGCCUCGCCCUGGCUUUCCCUCACCUGCUGUUUACCCGCCUUGCUUCACCGUCAAACAUUUCCUUAUUGCGUCUCACUCAGUCUCUAUAAACAUUCUGCCUUGCCGCGCGUCACCUCGGCACGCCCCUGCCACGUCAAAAUUCACCCAAGCCAAAACAGACAGGUAAACGCGGCCACACUCUUUAACUAACUUUCCCGCCUCAAUCCACACCUGUUCUGAAAAAAAAAUAAAAAUAAAAGCUCGUUUUCUUUUGACGCUUCGGGCACUCCCUGGAAAUUCAUCUGCCUGCCUGCCUGCUGCUGUAUUCCUCCCUACCUCUGACUUAAACUCUUACAAAAGGGAGGUUUUAACACACUUUUCUAAUUCUGGAUCCUUCUGGCUGUACUAUUUGGGGACUGGCAUCUUCAGUGGGCUUUUUUUUUCUGCCCUUUCGUAUCCUUUGCCCAGAGUCUGUUGUACAUAAAAAAAAAUAAAUAAAUAAACAUCAAUAAAAAUAUCAGAGGCACAGCACAUGUACGUGACUUUAGGGACAGGUAGAGGUGAGGCAGAGUUGGUGUGGGUGUGGGUGUGUCAGGAGGAGCGGCGACGAGUGUGUGGGGAGGAGGAUGCUGGAGAUGGAUGUACCAGACAGCAGACACAGAGGGAGGCCUUGGUGAAUGCUUGUAACGAAAGUGACUGAGGUGGUCUGGCACGUCAGGAGGAAGGAUAAGGAGUACGUCUGGAGGAGAGUGAGGGUGGAGGAUCUACCCGGCAAGAGAAAGAGAAGGAAACGUAAGAGAAGGUUUAUGCAUGCAGUGAAAGAAGACCUGCUUGUAAAGGGUGUGACUGAGGGAGGCGCAGAGAACCGACGGAGUUGAAAGCUGUUCCGCCGUGGCGACUCAAACAACUCUUAUUACGAUCAGGUUCCAAGGUCACUCGGUUGAUGUAGAAUCCUCGUUAAACUAUCAGUCAAUCACGAAAGCAUUCCUAAGAGAUUCAAUAACCCCGAUGAUGCAGAAUUCCUUUUAUACACUCACUAGAAUCAAGAAAACACCCUUGAAAACACUGACAACUUCCACUACUUUCUAUUAAACUCACAGGAACCACGAAAACACCCUUAAAAACCCCAAAUAACUCAAAACCCCUUCAAACAACCACUUGAAAUCAUAAGAAAAACACUAAAAAACCUCUGCAAUCGUAAAAAACACACUUGAAAACACUGGAUCCCUUUCAAAACUCAAAAUAAGGAAUCGAAACCCUUCAAGACAGAGCAAAGCGGUUGGAGUCCUCUUGGCGGCGGUCCUCGGGUUGCCGUGAUCACCACAUCAGAUCCAAUCGUCUUAAGAGAGCUUCCGCUAUUUAGGAUCUGAUAGUCCCAAGUCACGAACCCUAGGGGAGGAAAUGAGGGAAGGGAAGGAGAGAUACGAGGAAGGAAGGAUCGGGACGGAGAGUGGUGGGGAGGGAGGAAGGAGGGGGAGAGAGGAAGAGUGGAAAAGGCCAGGUAAGGAAAUAGGGGUGAGAGAGAGAAGUGGGAAGGAAAAGCAAGGAGAAAAGGAUACAAAUAAAAAAAUACGAGAAAAGAAAAGGAGGGAAAGAUGAAGGAGAAAAGGAUAAAUAAAAAAAAAUACGAGAAAGGAAGAGGAGGGAAAGAGGAAGAGAGAGAAAGGAAAGGUACAAACGAUAGAACAUAUGUAGAGAUAGAGGAGAGGGGGAGAGAAAAAAGGAAGGAUGAAAAGGAAAGACAGAAUAAAGAUAGAAAUAAAGAUAGAAAAGAAAGAGACACGAGAAAGGAAAGGAAGGAAGGGAGAAAGAGGGAAGAGAAGGAGAGGGAAGGACCAAGUAAGGAUGACAAGACAAAAGGAUAGGGGAGAGAAAAAGGAAGUAGAAAGGAAAGAGAAAGAUAGACAUAAGGAAAAGAGAAAGAGAUACGAGAAAAGAAAGGAGUAAUCGGGAGACAGAGACAGAGAGAGAGAGAGAGAGAGAGAGAGAGAGAGAGAGAGAGAGAGAGAGAGAGAGAGAGAGAGAGAGAGAGGAAACGGAAGAGAAAAGGGAAGGGGCGAAAGAAAAGGAAGGAGAGAAAGAUAGAAAUACGAGAUGAGAAGCAAGAAUAGGAGGAAGUGAAGAGAAAAGGAGCAAGGAGGAGGGAAUUAGAGAUAAGAGAGAGAGAAGAAGGGAGCAGAGAAGAGGGGAGAGAGAAGUGACAGAAGAGAGGAAAUGAAUGGGGGAGAGAUGAAGACGGAAAGAGGCAAUGAAAGAGGAUGAAAGAGAGUGAGAGGAAGGAAGGAAAACAAUAAAUGGAAGAAAGAAAAAAAGGAAACAGGAAAAAAAACAAGAAUGAGAGAGAGAGAGAGAGAGAGAGAGAGAGAGAGAGAGAGAGAGAGAGAGAGAGAGAGAGAGAGAGAGAGAGAGAGAGAGACGAGGAAACAAAGAUAAGAGGAAAAGAGAGGAAAAGAAGGAAUUAGGAGAAGAAAACGUGGAAAUGAAUAAAAGAAGAGGAAAGAAGGGAAAGAAGAAAUUAAGGAGAGAGAAACGAGAAAACAAAGACGAGAAGAAGAAGAAGAAGAAGAAGAAGAAGAAGAAGAAGAAGAAGAAGAAGAAGAAGAAGGGGGAAAAGAGAGAAAAAGAAAAAAAAGAAUUUGGGAGAGAAAAAGAGGAAACAAAAAUAAGAGCAAAGAGGAAAGAGGAACAUUUAUUAGUGAACAAAAAAAAAUCCAUAAAAAAAUAAUAAAACAAACUGAAAAUAAAAAAAUAAGAGGAAAAACAGGAAAAAUUACAACAGGAAAGAGGGAAGAGGAAAAACAGAGCAAGAAGACGAUUAAAACUGCAAAGUGGCUCUGCAAACUGACAUUCAAGAGGAACAAAAUAACAAGGAAACAAAAAUUCGAAUUCAGGAAGGAAAAAUGGGAAAACGAGAGAAAAAAACGAGCAAGAACAAAGAGGAAAACAUAGAUGAAGAGGAAAGACAACAAAAAUUAGCAACAAACAACAGAAAAAGAAGGAAAUUAUGAGAGAAAACACGAAAAAAAAUAAGAAGAGGAAAGAGGGAAAACCAGAGGAAGAAGAAAGAC